AGACAAUGCGGGUCACCAUAGCCGGGUCCACAUUGUGCACACCUGCAUCCCUAAUUCAGCAAAUAAUUUAACUAAUUAUAUAAUCAAGAUCUGAGGCUGGAAUGAAAACCUGCAUACACACGGCCCUCCAUGGCACGAGUUUGACACCACUGGUGUAGAUGGAAGCUCCCUGAGUCCACCAUUGAGCUUCCAUCUACACCAGUGGUCUCCAACCCUGGUACUGGAGAGCUACAGGGGCUGCUGGUUUUUGUUUUCACCUUAAAAUCGGCACCCAAUUGAGACCCAAGACACCAGGUGAGUAGAGUUAACUGUGUAAUCGACUGCUCUAAUUGAUUCAUGAAGUGCAGAGUCACUAUGAAAACCAGCAGACCCUGUAUGUUCUCCAGGUCCAGGGUUGGAGGCUAAGCCUCUGCCACACUCAUCUGCACACUGUUGCCACCUAGCUGCACAGAGAUGAAGUUCUGUGACGGGCGUAGCCCAGCUGCUCAGUAGUGUCAUCCUACCGCCACGCUGAUUGUGUCAUCCUGAGCUACACCUGUGUAGGUCAGGUCAGGUGAGCAGCCCAGGUGAUUUCACGAUCCGUGAAUCUGCUCAGGCGCAUCUGCAACGCAGGUCCCGCUGCGCGGAACGUGCCAGUAACCGUAGCCCCAGCCAGAGAGACUGUCCUGUACAAGGGAGGUUUGUGAAGGGCAUCUCUAUUCUCUGAUGUGAGAAGGUCAGCUGUAUGAGAAAGGUACAAGAACCUGAGCAAAACACAACCAAAAUAACGAUACACGGAGGAGGAACAGUGUUGUCUUCAUCUCACUUUAUUCCAUACAGUUGAACAUUUUUAAAGCAGGGAGUCACAGUGCUAUUCUAUAUCUUUUUGCCAUUUUUUAAAAUGUGUGCACAUAUGCUGUAGAUGUACAUAUGAAAUAGUUUAAUGGUUUGUAGGAUCAAUAUUGAAACCAGCAGCUAGCUUUGUUGCCAGUAUAUAAUGGUCAGGCCACACAAACACAGACAAUGCAAUGGAUGUCAAUAUUGCACUUUUUUCUUCCUAAUUUGCAGUUUGAAAUAAAUUAUUAUUAUUGUUGUUGCUGUUGUUAUUACUAUGGUUGUGAUGAUGACCAUAAUGAUGAUGAUUAUGAUUAUUAUUAUUUGUAGUAGUAGUCGUGGCAGUAGUAGUAGGACUGUUAUUAUUAUUGUUAUUGUUGUUGUUUUAAUGAAUAAUAAUUUUUUUUUUGUAAAUCCAUGUGCCAAUGGACAGCAUACACUUAGAUUUAGUCUCUAAAAGUAAGACAAAAUGUCCUCCCAUUUGUUUAUCUUUCAUCUUAUAAAGACUUGAGGUUGUUUUUAUUUUUUGCAUAUUGUCUUUUUAAUGCUUUUUGAGAAAUUUUCAAUAAAUUAAGAAUAAUUUAA
This is a long non-coding RNA of Anguilla rostrata (American eel), 1398 nucleotides long. RefSeq lists it as uncharacterized. The transcript is spliced from 2 exons. NCBI's taxonomy places the organism in Eukaryota, Metazoa, Chordata, Actinopteri, Anguilliformes, Anguillidae. The record is from RefSeq and is a predicted model, not a curated record.